This 439-nucleotide ribosomal RNA is filed under the name uncultured bacterium. RNAcentral describes it as "partial 16S ribosomal RNA". It matches the Rfam family "Bacterial small subunit ribosomal RNA", at positions 339 to 795 of the family's 1533-position model. The record is from RNAcentral.
CUACGGGGGGCUCCAGUGAGGAAUAUUGCACAAUGGGGGGAACCCUGAUGUAGCAACGCCGCGUGGAGGAUGACGCAUUUCGGUGUGUAAACUCCUUUUAUAAGUCAAGAAAAUGACGGUAGCAUAUGAAUAAGCACCGGCUAACUCCGUGCCAGCAGCCGCGGUAAUACGGAGGGUGCAAGCGUUACUCGGAAUCACUGGGCGUAAAGGACGCGUAGGCGGGGUGGAAAGUCAGGUGUGAAAUCCUACAGCUUAACUGUAGAACUGCACUUGAAACUUCUAAUCUAGAGUAUGGGAGGGGGAGAUGGAAUUCGUGGUGUAGGGGUAAAAUCCGUAGAUAUCACUAGGAAUACCUAAAGCGAAGGCGAUCUCCUGGAACAUUACUGACGCUAAGGCGUGAAAGCGUGGGGAGCAAACAGGAUUAGAUACCCUUGUAGUC